RNAcentral lists this ribosomal RNA (254 nucleotides) under uncultured bacterium. Its description in RNAcentral is "partial 16S ribosomal RNA". It matches the Rfam family "Bacterial small subunit ribosomal RNA", at positions 793 to 1055 of the family's 1533-position model. The record is from RNAcentral.
GUCCUAGCCUAACGAUGAACACUGGGUGUGGCCCUCACAGGGCCGUGCCGGAGCUAACGCGUUAAGUGUUCCGCCUGGGAGUACGGUCGCAAGGCUGAAACUCAAGGAAUUGACGGGCCCGCACAAGCGGUGGAGCAUGUGGUUCAAUUCGACGCAACGCGAAGAACCUUACCUGGGCUCGAAAUGUAGUUGACAGUCUCAGAGAUGAGAUGUUCCCGCAAGGGACGGCUGCAUAGGUGCUGCAUGGCUGUCGU